AAGUCGACGAGAACCCUUCGGGGGGACAGUGGCGAAAGGGCGAGUAAUGCGAUCGAACGUGCCCCGAGGUGGGGGAUAGCGUAGGGAAACUUACGGUAAUACCCCAUGUGCUCUACGGAGGAAAGGUUUACCGCCUCGGGAGCGGCGAUCGUCCUAUCAGGUAGUUGGUGAGGUAAAGGCUCACCAAGCCGAAGACGGGUAGCGGGUGUGAGAGCAUGACCCGCCGCAUCGGGACUGAGACACUGCCCGGACUCCUACGGGAGGCUGCAGUAACGAAUCUUCCGCAAUGGGCGAAAGCCUGACGGAGCAAUGCCGCGUGUGGGAUGAAGCGUCUUCGACGUGUAAACCACUGUCAGGGUCUAGGAACACUGACCAGACCCAGAGGAAGGGCCGGCUAAUUCCGUGCCAGCAGCCGCGGUAAUACGGAAGGCCCAAGCGUUAAUCGGAAUCACUGGGCUUAAAGCGUGCGUAGGCGGACCCGCAGGCAUCUUGUGAAAGCCCACGGCUCAACCGUGGAACAGCAGGGUGAACCGCGGGUCUUGAGGCAGGUAGGGGUCGAUGGAACCAUGGGUGGAGCGGUGAAAUGCGUAGAUAUCCAUGGGAACGCCAAUGGCGAAGGCAAUCGACUGGGCCUGUCCUGACGCUCAGGCACGAAAGCGUGGGUAGCGAACGGGAUUAGAUACCCUGGUA
Molecule: ribosomal RNA, 690 nt
Filed under: uncultured bacterium
Lineage: Bacteria
Description: bacterial SSU rRNA
Rfam family: Bacterial small subunit ribosomal RNA
Source: RNAcentral